Molecule: ribosomal RNA, 377 nt
Filed under: uncultured bacterium
Lineage: Bacteria
Description: bacterial SSU rRNA
Rfam family: Bacterial small subunit ribosomal RNA
Source: RNAcentral
UACGUAGGGUGCAAGCGUUAUCCGGAAUUAUUGGGCGUAAAGAGCUCGUAGGCGGUCUGUCGCGUCUGCUGUGAAAACUGGAGGCUCAACCUCCAGCCUGCAGUGGGUACGGGCAGACUAGAGUGCGGUAGGGGAGAUUGGAAUUCCUGGUGUAGCGGUGGAAUGCGCAGAUAUCAGGAGGAACACCGAUGGCGAAGGCAGAUCUCUGGGCCGUAACUGACGCUGAGGAGCGAAAGCGUGGGGAGCGAACAGGAUUAGAUACCCUGGUAGUCCACGCCGUAAACGUUGGGAACUAGAUGUAGGGACCAUUCCACGGUUUCUGUGUCGCAGCUAACGCAUUAAGUUCCCCGCCUGGGGAGUACGGCCGCAAGGCUAAA